Molecule: non-coding RNA, 495 nt
Organism: Enhydra lutris kenyoni (northern sea otter)
Lineage: Eukaryota; Metazoa; Chordata; Mammalia; Carnivora; Mustelidae
Source: the annotation of a RefSeq genome assembly
AUGAGGUUCCCUUCUCAACUCCUGGGGCUACUGAUGCUCUGGGUCCCAGGAUCCAGCAGGGAUAUUGUGCUGACACAGACCCCACUGUCCCUGUCUGUUGCCCCUGGAGAGUCGGCCUCCAUCUCCUGCAGGGCCAGUCAGAGUCUCCUGCACAGAGAUGGAAACACCUAUUUGUAUUGGUACCUAGAGAAACCAGGCUACUCCCCACAGCUCCUCAUCUAUGAGGUUUCCAUCCAUAAAUCUGGGGUCCCAGACAAGUUCAGUGGCAGUGGCUCAGGGACAGAUUUCAUCCUGAGAAUCAGCAGGGUGGAGGAUGAUGAUGUGGGAGUUUAUUACUGCGAGCAAGGUACACAUGUUCCUCCACAGUGGUUCAGGCCCGAACACAAACCUCUCUGUUUGGUGGUCCCCACUGGGCACUUCAUCCUGAGAUCUGGAGAUAGCCGGAAAAUCAGCUGGAGUGCGAGUGCGACCUGUUUCCUCCUGGUCAUUAGCUGA